RNAcentral lists this ribosomal RNA (253 nucleotides) under uncultured bacterium. RNAcentral describes it as "partial 16S ribosomal RNA". It matches the Rfam family "Bacterial small subunit ribosomal RNA", at positions 524 to 776 of the family's 1533-position model. The record is from RNAcentral.
GACGGAGGUGGCAAACGUUGCUCGGAAUCACUGGGCUUAAAGGGCGUGUAGGCGGUCCAUCAAGUCGGGUGUGAAAUCCCUCGGCGCAACCGAGGAACCGCAUUCGAAACUGAUGGGCUGGAGUGCGGGAGGGGUAAGUGGAACUCCAGGUGUAGCGGUGAAAUGCGUAGAUAUCUGGAGGAACGCCGGUGGCGAAAGAGAUUUACUGGCCCGUAAAUGACGCUGAGGCGCGAAAGCUAGGGGAGCAAACAGG